Molecule: unclassified non-coding RNA, 112 nt
Organism: Cercocebus atys (sooty mangabey)
Lineage: Eukaryota; Metazoa; Chordata; Mammalia; Primates; Cercopithecidae
Rfam family: Y RNA
About the family: Y RNAs are components of the Ro ribonucleoprotein particle (Ro RNP), in association with Ro60 and La proteins. The Y RNAs and Ro60 and La proteins are well conserved, but the function of the Ro RNP is not known.
Source: Ensembl
GGCUGGUCUGAAGAUAGUAAGUUAUCUCAAUUUACUUUCACAAUCAGUUACAGAUCAAACUCUUUGUUCUAUUCUUUUCCCCCUUCUCACUACUGCACUUGACUAGUCUAAA